AGUGAACGCUGGCGGUAGGCCUAACACAUGCAAGUCGAACGGCAGCACAGUAAGAGCUUGCUCUUACGGGUGGCGAGUGGCGGACGGGUGAGGAAUACAUCGGAAUCUACUUUUUCGUGGGGGAUAACGUAGGGAAACUUACGCUAAUACCGCAUACGACCUACGGGUGAAAGGAGUGGAUCUUCGGACCUGGCGCGAUUGAAUGAGCCGAUGUCGGAUUAGCUAGUUGGCGGGGUAAAGGCCCACCAAGGGGAGGAUCGGUAGCUGGUCUGGGAGGAUGGUCGGCCACCCUGGAACUGGACCACGGUCAAGGCUCCUACGGGAGGCCGCAGUGGGGUAUGUUGGACAGAGGGCGCAAAUCUGGUACAGCGAGCCCGCGUGGGUGACGGAGGCCUUCCGGUUGUAAAGACCUUUUGUUGGGUAUGAACAGCUGCCGGUUGAUACCAAGCUGUUCUGACGGUACCCAGUGAAUAAGCACCGGCUAACUUCGUG
This 492-nucleotide ribosomal RNA is filed under the name uncultured bacterium. Its description in RNAcentral is "partial 16S ribosomal RNA". It matches the Rfam family "Bacterial small subunit ribosomal RNA", at positions 29 to 507 of the family's 1533-position model. The record is from RNAcentral.